UACGGGGGGGGAAGCGUUGUUCGGAAUUACUGGGCGUAAAGGGCUCGUAGGCGGCCAACUAAGUCAGACGUGAAAUCCCCAGGCUCAACCUGGGAACUGCGUCUGAUACUGGAUGGCUUGAAUCCGGGAGAGGGAUGCAGAAUUCCAGGUGUAGCGGUGAAAUGCGUAGAUAUCUGGAGGAAUACCGGUGGCGAAGGCGGCAUCCUGGACCGGCAUUGACGCUGAGGAGCGAAAGCUAGGGGAGCAAACGGG
Molecule: ribosomal RNA, 252 nt
Filed under: uncultured bacterium
Lineage: Bacteria
Description: partial 16S ribosomal RNA
Rfam family: Bacterial small subunit ribosomal RNA
Source: RNAcentral